CAUUGUUCUAUGACAUCCAAGAGCAAACCUGUGUGGAAGACGAAAAUAUGGAGUACAGUCCGUGGCAUGGAAUAUGCAGCAUAGCUCCAUCAAAUUCUGUAAUCUCCUUUCUCUGAGAGCAGAAAGAAUCCUGGAGGAGAAACUAUGUUUAUCUGUAGUUGCAAAGCGUCAGGUACACGGUAGGCAGAGCUAAAAGUGGACAGAUAGUAGCUAAAUGAAGAAAAGUAUCUGGACUCUGCAAUUUGAAUAUGUUUUCAAGUAGUAUGAUCAUCUGGG
RNAcentral lists this long non-coding RNA (276 nucleotides) under Calidris pugnax (ruff). Its description in RNAcentral is "lncRNA (ENSCPUG00000004277.1)". Lineage: Eukaryota; Metazoa; Chordata; Aves; Charadriiformes; Scolopacidae. The record is from RNAcentral.